This is a long non-coding RNA of Aegilops tauschii subsp. strangulata, 2801 nucleotides long. RefSeq lists it as uncharacterized. The record is from RefSeq and is a predicted model, not a curated record. NCBI's taxonomy places the organism in Eukaryota, Viridiplantae, Streptophyta, Magnoliopsida, Poales, Poaceae.
CGACUUUGGCCUGUUCGCUGCGUCCUACCGACUUGGGCCUGUUCACCGUCGCGGCGCUCUUGCAAAAAAGUCCCUGAUGAAUUACGUAUUGAACGCGUAGUUCUAUUUUAAGUCUAUAUAGAGAAAACGUUUUGUGGAUCGGCUUGGGCCUUACGAGCGAACAGAAAAAUAUAGGCGAACACGAGCACGAGGGCUCGCCUUCGAUGCGUGCGGGUACGCCGCCGCCGCCGCCGCUGCCGCACGCCGCCUCUCCGGCCAUCCGCUGCCGCUGACGCGCGCGGUCUCUCUGCCAUCCGCCGCCCUGUUCGCCUUCCCUUCCCCAUCCGUCUCAAUCUUCUCUGGCGCCACCUGAAGCCUCCUCAACCUGCAAGCUCCUGCCAUCAAGCCCUUCUAAUCUCGCUGGAACAUGGACUUAACCGGAACGCCGUCCUGCUAGCCGUGCCCACUUGAGCGAGGAGAGAGUGGUGAGGCGGCUUAGGUGAGGCUCAGGACGGCGUCUCGCAUGUAAGUACGCCACUCCUGCGUCUCUAUGCUAAUCCGAGUGCAGUACUCUGCACAAUGCUCUACUUCUUCCUCAAAAAUAUAUGUUGAAUGCCCCAUGACUGGUUUGCACUUCUGGUGUUCGACAGUAUGCCUAAGCAGUGACCGCAUCCACGAUGAUAUCCAGUUCUUUGUCUCGUGUAAGAGUAUUAUGAUAUAUGAGAUGCUUGAAUGAAGGGAUCCUUGGAUUGUGUGCAAUAACAGUUUGUGUAAAUAUCUGAGGGUAAAGACAGCUCACGUAGAUGCCUCUGUGACCAGACCUCUCUAUAUAUCCUUUUCUAUAAACUAAUAGUUGUCAUUGCCAUACUAAUUGUGUGCUUUUCUAUUAGAAAAUCUCAGGGUAAAGACAUCUCAUGGGGAUGCCUAUGUGACCAGACCUCUCUAUAUAUCCUUUUCUAUAAACUAAUAGAUGUCAUUGCCAUACUAAUUGUGUACUUUUCUAUUAGAAAAGCACAAGAGAUUUGCUUCUGUACUCCUAAUUAAUCUGGUUUAGUUUCAGCAUAAUUGUUCUCAGUCAUUAUCCUCAAAUAUUUAAUAUGAACUAAUGCAGUCACGACACCAUAUUUCUUCCCCUGCUAUACACUUAUAUCACUAUACCAAUUUAAAUAUAGGGAGCUGCCUAUGGACUUGGAAGCCUGAAAAAGGAAAAUAGUAAACAACUUUGAGUCUCACAAUCAAAAUUGAGACGAUAUUGUAUAUAUUUAAUUGGAAUUAUGUGAAAAUUGUAGUGUGCCUUAUCUAUUUCCUUAUCUGUUGUUAUGUAUUAUUUGUAUAGUUACUGUUUUUAAUGUUUAAUUUAACCUUAUGUAAUUUCUGAAAAAACUGAAAGAUGCAUAAAUGGAUAAGUAGGUGAAGAUAUUAUUGUUAUGCUGAUCAUGGAGGAUGGAUAUUUCUUUGAGCUUCUAUCGUCGAUAGGGACGCUGUAGUGAGAUUUCUAUCGAACUCAAGAUAUUGAAAGUUGAAGGUUGGCACUGGUGGGGCUUGCUUCUAUGAGCACUGUUAGCCAGAUAGUUAUAUUGUGAAACACUUGACAAAGAAGCUCUCUGUCAACUAUUAAAGCAUUGCCAAUUUCUGUCCUAAAGCUGAAUGUUUUUGUGGGCAAUUGGUUCAUAAAAGCAAUGGCAAGUGAGAACUACUAAAGCAUUGAGUGUCUCCUUGCCUCCCUCACGGGCUACACACGUUGCGACCUGCUCGGAUGCAACAUGCUGGUCUUCCAAGGAGCCGCCGCCGAGCACACCGGUGUUUCCGGGUUGUACGAGGCCCUGUAAACACUUAUAAUUUUAGUGAUGUUGGCACAACCUGACCUUGCUGAUGCGACAUGAGGAUUUUUUUUUCUAGCAAUCACGCACAUCUGAAGACUUACUGGACUACUUUCCGAACUGACCGGACGCGACAUGAUAGGCAAGUACAAAAGAGCUAGCUGAUUGAUUCACCAUACAAUUAUACUAUUAUCUGAAGGCACGAUUAGCUGCUGCUGGAAGUGUUGAUGUAUUGGUAUUGGCAGGUUUUGCCAGUACUUGAAAUGCCAUUUUAAGUAGAGGUAUUAGAGAUACGAAGUUCUAACUCUGUUCUUGUGCUAAUCUAAAAAUAAUUUGGUGAUUUCAAGUAGUUCUGAGAAUAUAAGUCUUAUCCCUUUUUUUAAUAAUGGUAAGAGCAUAGAUCUCAUCGACCAGGAAAUAAUCCAUCAGGUAAGCAAAACACUGAAUAAUCACCAUCUGUACGAAAUAGUACCUGCACAUAUUAUUUCCAUGAUGAAAAAAGUUGGUUUGUUUACUGUAAUGAACCACCUUAUGGCCUUUGUGUAUUCCAGGAACUACCAAGGUUUCGGAUCUUCCUGUUUGAUCCAAAAUGCAUAUACACAUGAUUAUGAUGGAGAUACUAUCUGAAGUUGCCAUCAACAGGAUUGAGCAAUGUGGCAUAUAAGCUUUAGCUUGCUGGUUCAUAUUAUCAGUGUUAAUCUUCUGGUCGUGGCAAUUUUUUAGACUUUUUGAGGUAGCUAAACUAAUCUGGUGUUAAGCUAUGAAGGAUUUUGCUUUUGGAAAGGUUACUGAAAGGAUACCUUAACUUUGUUUUAUCCCCUAGAUCAAUUUUUUUUCUGGAAAGGUUACUGAAAGAGUACCUUAACUUUCUUUCAUCCCCUAGAUCAGUUUAAGUAUGCUAAGCCCACGUUUAUUUAGAUGUAUAGCUUUGCAUGACAGUCUUGUUUUAACAGAUUAUUGGGGCAUUAUGCAAUGUAUAUUCUGCAUUUCUGCUCAUCAUUA